This is a long non-coding RNA of Octopus sinensis (East Asian common octopus), 102 nucleotides long. RefSeq lists it as uncharacterized. NCBI's taxonomy places the organism in Eukaryota, Metazoa, Mollusca, Cephalopoda, Octopoda, Octopodidae. The transcript has 3 exons. The record is from RefSeq and is a predicted model, not a curated record.
GGAACUGGCCAGUUUAAACAUCUGAAUACGAGAGCCUCCUCCUUCAGAAAACAUCUAGACAGAUGCCAGAACACUGACAAAAGCAUAAUGGUCACAAUUGAG